AUACGUAGGGAGCGAGCGUUGUCCGGAAUUACUGGGUGUAAAGGGAGCGUAGGCGGGAGUGCAAGUCAGAUGUGAAAUACAUGGGCUCAACCCAUGGGCUGCAUUUGAAACUGCAUUUCUUGAGUGAAGUAGAGGUAAGCGGAAUUCCUGGUGUAGCGGUGAAAUGCGUAGAUAUCAGGAGGAACACCGGUGGCGAAGGCGGCUUACUGGGCUUUUACUGACGCUGAGGCUCGAAAGCGUGGGGAGCAAACAGGAUUAGAUACCCUGGUAGUCCACGCUGUAAACGAUGAUUACUAGGUGUGGGGGGACUGACCCCUUCCGUGCCGCAGUUAACACAAUAAGUAUUCCGCCUGGGGAGUACGGCCGCAAGGUUGAAACUCAAAUGAAUUGACGGGG
RNAcentral lists this ribosomal RNA (396 nucleotides) under uncultured bacterium. RNAcentral describes it as "partial 16S ribosomal RNA". It matches the Rfam family "Bacterial small subunit ribosomal RNA", at positions 523 to 918 of the family's 1533-position model. The record is from RNAcentral.